GAUCAUUGCUCAGGAUGAACGCUAGCUACAGGCUUAACACAUGCAAGUCGAUGGGCAGCAUGGUCUUAGCUUGCUAAGGCCGAUGGCGACCGGCGCACGGGUGAGUAACACGUAUCCACCCUGCCGUCUACUCUUGGACAGCCUUCUGAAAGGAAGAUUAAUACAAGAUGGCAUCAUGAGUUCACAUGUUCACAUGAUUAAAUGUAUUCCGGUAGACGA
This 219-nucleotide ribosomal RNA is filed under the name uncultured bacterium. RNAcentral describes it as "partial 16S ribosomal RNA". It matches the Rfam family "Bacterial small subunit ribosomal RNA", at positions 15 to 225 of the family's 1533-position model. The record is from RNAcentral.